UAAAAUAAUAAUCUUUUAUUUCACAGAAGUACAAACGUAUAAAGUAAGACAAAGAGCUUAUAUUGUCGUUCACCAAAGCAGAGAUACACUACAUCUAUAAUGGACGUGUUAAUGUCUAUAGCUCUGGUCCAGGGCGACUUUGAGAACAUUACCAAACCACAACCUGGACCAGAGCUAUCUUUCUCUAUAUAAAACCAACAGCGCUAGCCCCUCCCUCCCACGCUGCCCAGCUGUGCUUGACAUGGACUGAAAUAGGUGCCGGUACUGUUUAUAUUCAGGUGCAGGAGCUUCACAAUAAAUUUCAGCUAAUAUUCGAUAAGAGGGACAUUUGAGGUGCUGGUACUCAGCUCCAGUGAGCUCCUGCCCAAGUCAGGCACGGCUGGUCAGCCAACAGAGCUCCUGCCCAAGUCAGGCACGGCUGGUCAGCCAACAGUUAUGCACAUCAAGAAAUAAAGAAAAUAUGAUACACUGAUAAAUUGUCAACAGAAAAGAUACAGACAUACAUAUAUAGCCUGGUCCAAGACAUAUACACUACCGGUCAAAAGUUUUAGAGCACCUACUCAUUCAAGGGUUUUUCUUUUCAUUUUACUAUCUUCUACAUUGUAGAAUAAUAGUGAAGACAUCAAAACUGAAAUACCACUCCAAUGAACUUAUCCUCUGCAGCAGAGGUAACUCUGGGUCUUCCUUUCAUGUGGAGGUCCUCAUGAGAGCCAGUUUCAUCAAGUUCUUGAAAUGUUUCGUAUUGACUGACUUUCAUGUUUUAAAAUAAUGAUGGACUGUCAUUUCUCUUAUUUGAGCUGUUCCUGCCAUCAUAUAGACUUGGUCUUUUACCAGAUAGGGCUAUCUUCUGUAUACCUCCCCUACCUUGUCACAACACAACUGAUUGGCUCAAACGCAUUAAAAAGGAAAGAAAUUUCACAAAUUCACUUUUAACAGCGCACGCCUGUUAAUUGAAAUGCAUUCCAGGUGACUACCUCAUGAAGCUGGUUGAGAGAAUGCCAAGAGUGCAAAACUGUCAUCAAGGCAAAGGGUGGCUACUUUGAAGAAUCUCAAAUAUAUUUUCAUUUGUUUAACACUUUUCGUUACUACAUGAUUCCAUGUGUGUUAUUUCAUAGUUUUGAUGUCUUCACUAUUAUUUUACAAUGUAGAAAAUAGUCAAAAUAAAGAAAAAAGCUUGAAUGAGUAGGUGUGUCCAAAUGUUUGACUGGUACUUUAUGUACAUUUUUAUUUUAUACAUUUUAGAAUAAGGGUGUAACGUAACAAAAUUUGGAAAAAGUCGAGGGGUCUGAAUAUUUUCCGAAGGCAC
Long non-coding RNA from Oncorhynchus tshawytscha (Chinook salmon), 1306 nucleotides. NCBI's taxonomy places the organism in Eukaryota, Metazoa, Chordata, Actinopteri, Salmoniformes, Salmonidae. The record is from Ensembl.